This 403-nucleotide ribosomal RNA is filed under the name uncultured bacterium. RNAcentral describes it as "bacterial SSU rRNA". It matches the Rfam family "Bacterial small subunit ribosomal RNA", at positions 357 to 775 of the family's 1533-position model. The record is from RNAcentral.
GGGAAUAUUGCACAAUGGGGGAAACCCUGAUGCAGCGACGCCGCGUGAGUGAAGAAGUAUUUCGGUAUGUAAAGCUCUAUCAGCAGGAACGAGACAAGACGGUACCUGACUAAGAAGCCCCGGCUAACUACGUGCCAGCAGCCGCGGUAAUACGUAGGGGGCAAGCGUUAUCCGGAUUUACUGGGUGUAAAGGGAGCGUAGGUGGCAUGGUAAGCCAGAAGUGAAAACCCAGGGCUCAACUCUGUGGAUUGCUUUUGGAACUAUCAAGCUAGAGUGCUGGAGGGGUAAGCGGAAUUCCUAGUGUAGCGGUGAAAUGCGUAGAUAUUAGGAGGAACACCGGUGGCGAAGGCGGCUUACUGGACAGAAACUGACACUGAGGCUCGAAAGCGUGGGGAGCAAACAG